GGGGUCGUGAGCUAACCUGGCAUGCUGCCAGCUUCGGGAGCUGGUUGUCUGGGUUCAAAUCCCGGCGACCCCA
RNAcentral lists this transfer RNA (73 nucleotides) under Microcaldota archaeon. RNAcentral describes it as "tRNA-Pro". It matches the Rfam family "tRNA". Rfam says of the family: Transfer RNA (tRNA) molecules are approximately 80 nucleotides in length. Their secondary structure includes four short double-helical elements and three loops (D, anti-codon, and T loops). The record is from RNAcentral. Lineage: Archaea; Nanobdellati; Microcaldota. RNAcentral also lists the same sequence under 1 other name.